UACGUAGGCAGCAAGCGUUGUUCGGAGUUACUGGGCGUAAAGGGUGUGUAGGCGGUUGUUUAAGUUUGGUGUGAAAUCUCCCGGCUCAACUGGGAGGGUGCGCCGAAUACUGAAUGACUAGAGUGUGGGAGAGGUGAGUGGAAUUCCUGGUGUAGCGGUGAAAUGCGUAGAUAUCAGGAGGAACACCGGUGGUGUAGACGGCUCACUGGACCAGAACUGACGCUGAGACACGAAAGCGUGGGUAGCAAACAGG
This 253-nucleotide ribosomal RNA is filed under the name uncultured bacterium. RNAcentral describes it as "partial 16S ribosomal RNA". It matches the Rfam family "Bacterial small subunit ribosomal RNA", at positions 524 to 776 of the family's 1533-position model. The record is from RNAcentral.